CUUCAAACGUCCAGGAACAAUCGCUGAAAUGACUACGAGGGCUGUGCUUCAGAGCAUGCAGCUCAUAUGGAUUAUCUUCAUUGUUGUUGCCGAUGCUCUGCUUGAAGUGACCCAGACCCCUGAAAAUACCUAUUCGAUCACUGGUGCAAAUAUUUCAUUCAGCUGCACAUUUUCUACUUUUCAAGAGGAUUCAGAUAUGAACAUUUAUUGGUGGAAACUUGGCGAAAAAGAAUUGAUGCAGCCAGGAUCAGACAGCAGGAGACGAUUUGUAACUGAGAAAGGAAGAGCCUCCUUCCAACUCCUGAGUAUCGGUGUCGAGGACUCUGGAGUGUAUUACUGCGGAGUAACAAUUCAGGGAAACAGGGUCGCAAAUGGAAGUGGAUCAAGGCUCGUCGUCAGUGGUAAAAGAAUUGUAAAGAGGCUAGGCUGUCUCACAGUCUCACAGUUAUUCAAAUAA
Molecule: non-coding RNA, 457 nt
Organism: Carcharodon carcharias (great white shark)
Lineage: Eukaryota; Metazoa; Chordata; Chondrichthyes; Lamniformes; Lamnidae
Source: the annotation of a RefSeq genome assembly